UAAACGAUGAGUGCUAAGUGUUAGGGGGUUUCCGCCCCUUAGUGCUGCAGCUAACGCAUUAAGCACUCCGCCUGGGGAGUACGGUCGCAAGACUGAAACUCAAAGGAAUUGACGGGGGCCCGCACAAGCGGUGGAGCAUGUGGUUUAAUUCGAAGCAACGCGAAGAACCUUACCAGGUCUUGACAUCCUCUGACAAUCCUAGAGAUAGGACGUCCCCUUCGGGGGCAGAGUGACAGGUGGUGCAUGGUUGUCGUCAGCUCGUGUCGUGAGAUGUUGGGUUAAGUCCCGCAACGAGCGCAACCCUUGAUCUUAGUUGCCAGCAUUCAGUUGGGCACUCUAAGGUGACUGCCGGUGACAAACCGGAGGAAGGUGGGGAUGACGUCAAAUCAUCAUGCCCCUUAUGACCUGGGCUACACACGUGCUACAAUGGACAGAACAAAGGGCAGCGAAACCGCGAGGUUAAGCCAAUCCCACAAAUCUGUUCUCAGUUCGGAUCGCAGUCUGCAACUCGACUGCGUGAAGCUGGAAUCGCUAGUAAUCGCGGAUCAGCAUGCCGCGGU
Molecule: ribosomal RNA, 560 nt
Filed under: Bacillus sp. (in: firmicutes)
Lineage: Bacteria; Bacillati; Bacillota; Bacilli; Caryophanales; Bacillaceae
Description: bacterial SSU rRNA
Rfam family: Bacterial small subunit ribosomal RNA
Source: RNAcentral